UUGGCAAUUAAGCGGAACGGCCAAAAAUUCAACAAUUGAAUGCAAUUUUUAUUAUUUCAUCUUUCCCUCCCUUUUUUUUUCACAAUAAUCACCCAUUCCCUCCAAAUAGUUUCCAUGUAAAUUAAAUAGAUUCAAUUAAAGAAGAAAAUAAGAAAUAGGGCUUUAUCUCUCUCGACCGCGCCGCUGCCAAUCACAUCUUUCUCAGAUCAUCACCGACUGCCAUCCCAUGGUAACCCAACUCGUCUCUCUCACUCUCUCAGUCGCACUUACACAUGCUCUCUCUCUCUCUCUCUCUCUCUCUCUCUCUCUCUCUCUCUCUCUCUCUCUCUCUCUCUCUCUCUCUCUCUCUUGAUCUAUUGCUUUUAUAUUAUGGGUUUGAUUAGAUAAGAUUUGAUGAGAAUGUAAAGAAACUUGGAGAAGAAAAUUGGAAUGCAAUUUAUUGAUGAGAUGUAGAAAAGAGUAUUUGCAAUGUGCUAAUGUGAUAUUUUAUUUUUCUAGAAAAUUUAGUUUUUGAAAUGUCUAAUUGUUGAGGCUUGAUGGGUCCCAAAAUGUAGAGAAUGGAGAUGAAUUUGGAGUUAUGAAGGGUGUUUCAAAUGAUUUUUUCGGUUAAUUAGAAAGAAGAAAUCAAACUAAAAAGGUUAUUCAGAGAUGGAACUUUUGAAACAAUGGUUUCGUGAAAUGUAAGGUUAUAUCGUAAGUUAAGUUGUCUAAUUUUGAUUUGCAAGGCAACCUGAUUAUAGAUUUACUAAACAACAGAGAUUUGAGCAUUAGUCACAAGGUCUAGUUAUGAACACAUAUUAGUUUACUGAAAUCAGGAAAUUGAAAAUUUUGUUCAUAUGUUAAAGUUUUUUCAUGACUUUGCUCAGCAGAGCCUGGUGGAUAUUUCAUUCCACUUGUUUCAAAUUAGAACAUCUUUACUAAUUCUCUUGGAACAUCCCUAGUCACUAUGACCUGAUAAAUAACUUGAAUACUAUAUCACCCAAAAGCAUGUAGUGAUGUCAGAAUCUCUAAUAGAAUUGAAAUUCACAAUGCAGGUUUAUUUUUGCAGCUACAGUACCUUCUUUUAUAACAACAGUUUGCGAUUACAAUAUAUUUAAUCACUUAAUGCUAUUUUGUUGUAGCUUUCUCAUCUUAGAAAACUUUUGACUUCCAUUUUACAUAGUAAUAAGCAAUUUUGUGGCUCAUUGUUUUCCACAACAAUGAACUCUUCUCGCUCUUUCUCAAUGAGACAACAACAUAUUCAUGUGAGCAAUUCGAAAGGUAAGUGCUCAAACUUCUACUAUCUGUUCCUUGGAUUUUUUAUCAUAUGAGAAUUAUAUUUUUUUUUCCUUAAUCCCUUUGUUACGGUGGUCUAUUUUUCUUUUAUAAUAUUUCUUAAGUCAAGAGGAAGACUUGAAAGUUGCACAGCUAAGAAAGAUUCUUUUUUAUUGAAAAGGUAAGUCGUCAACAAAGUACACAUUUUAGAGACAAGAUGUGGUUGAAAGAGUUUGGUUGUUGAAGUUGUCAAGCGAAUAUGAUUGAAAUAUACUCUACCACCCUUGUGUUAGAUGUUUAGACAUCAUAGACUUUUAAUUUCCGCCUAAGAGAGCAACCACCCUUAGGAAAUUAAAUUCUUUUCUUCCUUGUUUGUUCUUAAAAAUGGUACCUUUUUUCAAAUUCUUUAACGAAUGUUUGAUUAAUUUUUUUGCCCUUAAAGAUAGUGCAGAUCAUAUAGGAAACCAAGUUGUUACAAUGAAUCGUAAAAGCCAAAGCUGCUCAAAUUCAGUACUAAUUCAUAGAUGCUUCCUAUCUAUGUAGGAACUUUAUAUCUGAGAUUGACUAUCUAUUUGACUCAAGUAUUUAUCUUGUGUUAUAGCUUUACCUCUAUGGAAAAGGCUGAAAUACAUUUUGUUUAUGUAUUAUGUGAUCAAGAGAUGUUCUGUGUCUUGCCAUAUUCUUCCAAGUAAAUACCCUUAUUUAUCUUUAUUGAGUAUUCUUAAAAUAAAUUUCUACAAGAAUAGAUAGAUGAUGCUACACAACACACUUGACAAUAAACAUUCGGUUAUGAUUUCUAAGUUUACUAAUCAGAAUAUUGUCCAUGUAGGUAAAGGUUUUGCUACAGGAAAAAUAUGCCUAGAAAAAGUUGAAGUUAUUCAGCUCACCAAGUUUAAGGAAUAGUAGUUACCAUUGUCAUGCUCAACAUAAUAAUAUCUGGGAAAUUACAACUCUUCCUCUAUUCUAGGUCAUACAUCAAUGAUGUCCAAACUUUUAGCAUUUGGAAGAAUUCAAUAUAAUGAAGAGUUGCGAAUAUUUAUUGUGGACUUACGUAUCUAUUAUUUUGUUAUUGUAGGCAUUCAAUAUGAUUAGUUGUAAUGAUAUUAGUUAUUUAAUUCAAAUAAUGUAAUUUUAUCUUUUAUGUCAUUGAUGCAUUAAUAAUAUAGAUUAGCACUUUUUUGUCUA
Molecule: non-coding RNA, 2439 nt
Organism: Nicotiana tabacum (common tobacco)
Lineage: Eukaryota; Viridiplantae; Streptophyta; Magnoliopsida; Solanales; Solanaceae
Source: RefSeq, a predicted model, not a curated record